GAUGAAGAACGUAGCGAAAUGCGAUAAGUAGUGUGAAUUGCAGAAUUCAGUGAAUCAUCGAAUCUUUGAACGCACAUUGCGCCCCUUGGUAUCCCGAGGGGCAUGCCUGUUCGAGCGUCAUUUCACCACUCAAGCCUGGCUUGGUGUUGGGCGACGUCCCCUUUGGGGACGCGCCUCGAAACGCUCGGCGGCGUGGCACCGGCUUUAAGCGUAGCAGAAUCUUUCGCUUUGGAAGUCGGGGCCCCGUCUGCCGGAAGACUUACUCGCAAGGUUGACCUCGGAUCAGGCAGGGAUACCCGCUGAACUUAAGCAUAUCAAUAAGCGGAGGA
Molecule: unclassified non-coding RNA, 329 nt
Filed under: soil metagenome
Description: partial contains 5.8S ribosomal RNA, internal transcribed spacer 2, and large subunit ribosomal RNA
Rfam family: 5.8S ribosomal RNA (bases 1-120)
Source: RNAcentral